CCUACGGGAGGCUGCAGUGGGGAAUCUUCCGCAAUGGACGAAAGUCUGACGGAGCAACGCCGCGUGAGUGAAGAAGGUUUUCGGAUCGUAAAGCUCUGUCUUCAAGGACGAAUGUAGAUAUUGUGAAUAAUGAUAUUUAAUGACGGUACUUGAGGAGGAAGCCACGGCUAACUACGUGCCAGCAGCCGCGGUAAUACGUAGGUGGCAAGCGUUGUCCGGAAUUAUUGGGCGUAAAGGGAGCGCAGGUGGGAAUAUCAGUCUGUCUUAAAAGUUCGGGGCUCAACCCCGUGAUGGGAUGGAAACUAUAUUUCUUGAGUGCAGGAGAGGAAAGUGGAAUUCCUAGUGUAGCGGUGAAAUGCGUAGAUAUUAGGAGGGACACCAGUGGCGAAGGCGACUUUCUGGACUGUAACUGACACUGAGGCUCGAAAGCCAGGGUAGUGAACGGGAUUAGAUACCCGGGUAGUC
This 465-nucleotide ribosomal RNA is filed under the name uncultured bacterium. RNAcentral's name for it is "bacterial SSU rRNA". It matches the Rfam family "Bacterial small subunit ribosomal RNA", at positions 338 to 795 of the family's 1533-position model. The record is from RNAcentral.